Molecule: microRNA precursor, 78 nt
Filed under: Schistosoma curassoni
Lineage: Eukaryota; Metazoa; Platyhelminthes; Trematoda; Strigeidida; Schistosomatidae
Description: mir-3492 microRNA precursor family
Rfam family: mir-3492 microRNA precursor family
Source: Rfam by way of RNAcentral
AGCCUUCUGUACCGGUGCUGAGAUUUCCUCACAUACCACACUACAAGGGCUGAUCAGAAUCCCAAGAUAAGUGAAGCG